RNAcentral lists this ribosomal RNA (465 nucleotides) under uncultured bacterium. RNAcentral's name for it is "partial 16S ribosomal RNA". It matches the Rfam family "Bacterial small subunit ribosomal RNA", at positions 28 to 507 of the family's 1533-position model. The record is from RNAcentral.
GACGAACGCUGGCGGCGUGCUUAACACAUGCAAGUCGAACGGAAAGGCCCUGCUUGCCGGGUACUCGAGUGGCGAACGGGUGAGUAACACGUGGGUGAUCUGCCCUGCACUUCGGGAUAAGCCUGGGAAACUGGGUCUAAUACCGGAUAGGAGCCAUUUUUAGUGUGAUGGUUGGAAAGUUUUUUCGGUGUAGGAUGAGCUCGCGGCCUAUCAGCUUGUUGGUGGGGUAAUGGCCUACCAAGGCGGCGACGGGUAGCCGGCCUGAGAGGGUGGACGGCCACAGUGGGACUGAGAUACGGCCCAGACUCCGACGGGAGGCAGCAGUGGGGAAUAUUGCACAAUGGGCGCAAGCCUGAUGCAGCGACGCCGCGUGGGGGAUGACGGCCUUCGGGUUGUAAACUCCUUUCGCUAGGGACGAAGCUUUUUGUGACGGUACCUAGAUAAGAAGCACCGGCUAACUACGUG